Molecule: ribosomal RNA, 626 nt
Filed under: uncultured bacterium
Lineage: Bacteria
Description: bacterial SSU rRNA
Rfam family: Bacterial small subunit ribosomal RNA
Source: RNAcentral
AGUCGAACGAGAUCUUCGGGUCUAGUGGCGCACGGGUGCGUAACGCGUGGGAAUCUGCCCUUUGGUUCGGAAUAACAGUUGGAAACGACAGCUAAUACCGGAUGAUGACGAAAGUCCAAAGAUUUAUCGCCAGAGGAUGAGCCCGCGUAGGAUUAGCUAGUUGGUGUGGUAAAGGCGCACCAAGGCGACGAUCCUUAGCUGGUCUGAGAGGAUGAUCAGCCACACUGGGACUGAGACACGGCCCAGACUCCUACGGGAGGCAGCAGUGGGGAAUAUUGGACAAUGGGCGAAAGCCUGAUCCAGCAAUGCCGCGUGAGUGAUGAAGGCCUUAGGGUUGUAAAGCUCUUUUACCCGGGAUGAUAAUGACAGUACCGGGAGAAUAAGCUCCGGCUAACUCCGUGCCAGCAGCCGCGGUAAUACGGAGGGAGCUAGCGUUGUUCGGAAUUACUGGGCGUAAAGCGCACGUAGGCGGCUUUGUAAGUUAGAGGUGAAAGCCUGGAGCUCAACUCCAGAACUGCCUUUAAGACUGCAUCGCUUGAAUCCAGGAGAGGUGAGUGGAAUUCCGAGUGUAGAGGUGAAAUUCGUAGAUAUUCGGAAGAACACCAGUGGCGAAGGCGGCUCACUGG